RNAcentral lists this ribosomal RNA (125 nucleotides) under uncultured soil bacterium. RNAcentral's name for it is "partial 16S ribosomal RNA". It matches the Rfam family "Bacterial small subunit ribosomal RNA", at positions 26 to 149 of the family's 1533-position model. The record is from RNAcentral.
AGGACGAACGCUGGCGGCGUGCUUAACACAUGCAAGUCGAACGAUGACGGAGAGCUUGCUCUUCUGAUUAGUGGCGAACGGGUGAGUAACACGUGAGUAACCUGCCCUUGACUCUGGGAUAAGCA